This is a long non-coding RNA of Archocentrus centrarchus (flier cichlid), 960 nucleotides long. RefSeq lists it as uncharacterized. The record is from RefSeq and is a predicted model, not a curated record. The transcript has 4 exons. Lineage: Eukaryota; Metazoa; Chordata; Actinopteri; Cichliformes; Cichlidae.
AUUGUGCUGUUUCCCUAAACAUGAUUCAAUCAUGAAACAUCCUUGUAAAUAGUCUUGUUGUUAGAUGGACAUGUUUCAAUCAUGACCACAUUACAUGAAAUAGUUGCAAUGUAUGGAAAAGCUCCUCCUACUUUUUUGAUACUAAAUUACCCCUCCCAAUCCUUUGCCCGGGAAAAGCAAUUAUACUGCAGAAGAAGAAGGCCCGAUUUUAUCAGUGCUGCCUGGAACUUUAAGGAGGCAAGGUGCUCUGCUAGAAUAAUGCAUUGAAUGGCAAGCUUGCCUGUUUCAAAGGCUCUGUAGUGUAUGUGGCAGUGUAAGGGGUGCCGGGUAGAAGUAUCAAACUGAGAAUAAUGGCUUCACCCUGCAUACUGAAAGUCAUAUUGGUGGACAACACCUGCCAGAGGCUAACACUACCAUGUGGACUUCCUCAAUCUGUGAGUGAGCUUAUGGAAGAAGUACAGCGCCAGUGUGGACUGACCUACACCUUCAACCUACAGUUUAUGGAUCCACUCUUUAAUGAUGACUUCAUGAAUCUGACCUCAGUAUCUGAAAUACAAAACAGAGGCACUAUUAAGGUGGUAAAUCUGUCAGAUCCAACCAUUUUACAGUCACCUGUUUCAUCUGCUGGUUGUCGUUCACAGUCAACUUCAAGUUUUUCUGGUGUGAGUUGUCCUGAUACAGACAUUCUUUCUUCAACUGAGUCUCAGUCUGAGCCAUCCACUUCAAGGUCAUUGUGGCCAGACAAGUUUUGUGUUCCUCAGUUUUCCUUUGACUCUGAGUUAAAACUUGACCGAGCCAAUGCAGAAUAUAAAGAAAAUGGGACACUUCUGACUCCAGAUAACAAACUUUUGUCAAACAUUCUCGAUGGACUUGUGCAAGAAAUUGUUCAUUAUGGACUUUAUAUAACCGACAACCAGUUCAACAGUGUGGGUGAGGCGCUCAUACUAAAGCAUCCCUGUC